Molecule: non-coding RNA, 113 nt
Organism: Acanthosepion pharaonis
Lineage: Eukaryota; Metazoa; Mollusca; Cephalopoda; Sepiida; Sepiidae
Source: the annotation of a GenBank genome assembly
UAUGGCCACAUCAAGUUGAAACACCAGUUCUUGUAUGAGCAUCAAAGUUAAGCAAUAUUGAGCGUGUUCAGUACUUAGAUGGGUAACUGCUUGAGAAUACCAAGUGCUGUAAG